CGUCUCCUGCGGUGUUCGAUGUUUUGCUCAGUGUCCCUUGAGCCUAUUUUGUACCCUACGGGAGCCGUACUUGGUUGGGAGUGCAAGCCCACGCUUUAUUGCAGUGGGAAGCCCGAUAGCCAAAGCAGGCACCCACUUGAGACCCACGUCUCAAGGUCAAGAGCACGAUGACGGCACAGGCGGGAGACAC
This 190-nucleotide non-coding RNA is filed under the name Sinimarinibacterium sp. NLF-5-8. Its description in RNAcentral is "6S / SsrS RNA". It matches the Rfam family "6S / SsrS RNA". Rfam says of the family: E. coli 6S RNA was the first non coding RNA to be sequenced, but its function was unknown until recently. Lineage: Bacteria; Pseudomonadati; Pseudomonadota; Gammaproteobacteria; Nevskiales; Nevskiaceae. The record is from Rfam by way of RNAcentral.